UUUCUGUAUACGAAGUGAUAGCUGUACCUGUACCUGAAAUCAUACAAUACUACAACCAGUAGUAUAGAGCUGCUCAAAAAAAACAUAUAUAAAUAAACCUCGGUUCAAUACAUAUAUAGUAUCCUGGUACAAAAACACUCGUUCCAGCGAAGCACUAACAUCAGUAUGUAAAAGAACCAAAAACUACAACUAUCUGUAGCUGGUAUAACUCUAGAUCA
Molecule: long non-coding RNA, 218 nt
Filed under: Ananas comosus (pineapple)
Lineage: Eukaryota; Viridiplantae; Streptophyta; Magnoliopsida; Poales; Bromeliaceae
Description: long non-coding RNA (ACOM_LNC000618)
Source: RNAcentral